UACUAUUCCAACGAUCCCUCAUCCUUAUUCUUUCUCUCUCCUCCCGAUGGAAAAGGAGCGGUCCUUCCUCAAAAAAUACUCACGAAAGUAUCUUCCUAAGCCUUCUCCUUCCAAUCCUCUUCGAUCUUCCAAUGUCGGUACUACAAUCUGCGUACAAGCCAACACCGAUCUUCCAAUGUCGGGACUGCAAUAUCUGCGUACAAGCCAACACCGAAGCCGUCUAUCACCCCUUCCGAUGCAUAUGGCUUGCUGCGCCGUCCAGGAAAUUAUCCCUGCACAAUCCGAGCUACAGCUCGAUGGUCAUGGUCGACCCGCCGUGUCUGCUGCCGUGCCGCCUACUUCUACUCAUCCGCCCUCAGCUUCCAAAAUCCACCAGCGCUUCGGAUCUAAAUCAAGCCAACUAUCAGAUCCGUCAUCUAUCUAAUCUCUUUGAAUUCCAUGUUCUCACCUGGCUGCAAUCUAACGAUGGUGAUGGUUCAUGCAAGGUAGGGUAAGGAGUAGCGAUGUUGUCCUUAAGUAUGUGGUCCUCCUGUCGCAUGUGGUGUGUUGAAUACCUUCUCGGAAAAAAAAUAUGGUGUAUUGAACGUUCGAGAACCUACUAGGGACUGGCGGCAUAGAGAUUUACCUGUCCAAAGUCAAGUUCGUUCUGGGUUGUCCAUCUCCAUAGGCAAGCACCAUAUCCGUAAAUUCCUUGAUUAUCCUGCUUGAUUUUUCUCUAGCUAUAACAUAACACCACAUAUCUCUUCUAUUAUUACAAGUACAAUUUGCGCAAAGCCAAGCCGCUUAUUUCAAAGUCGCUAGAUCAUAUCAGUAGAUAAACUGGUCAUAUUUCUUUUCCUUCUCAGCGAGAUAUGUUUCCAUGGUGAAUUUGUUUGUUUUGUGCUGGUAGAUGAUUCCCAGGUGGUGGUUCGGAGAACAUGCAGCUGCCUUAUAGAACUAGGAUUGUUGUUCAAAAGUCUGAACAACGACCCGUGCCUCUUCUGCCAUGCCAACAUUUGCCGGAUGUCUCCCAGGCCUUCAUGGCAUCUAAUCGGCUGUGUCCAAGUACACAAGGGAACAGCCAUUACAGAAACACAUGAAGAUCUAAGGGCGGAAGCAGGAGUGAGCUCAACAGAAAUUGAAAACAUGUCGGACAUGCUGGAAGUAGGGACAACGGGCAGAUGAGAGGCAACUUAAUGACAGAUGCUUACGCUGGUACGUGCUACGGAGAUUGGAUAUUAACUACUAUAUAUUCACUAUGAAAUUAACAUGUUGCUUCAGGCUUAACUCCUUUGACGGCUGGGACUGGAUCAGACAUUUUGCUGCGGUUCUGCAAUACGUUUAUUUAUUUUCUCAAAGGAACUAAUGAUCACUUUAAUAUUUUUUUAGCAAACUUUUUGAUUCUCUUUGAGAAGAAAUAAUCAAUUUUUAGACCAGUGUAUAAAUGACCCUUGCAGGAGGGAGUAUUUACUAAGAUAAAAAACGAACAAUAGUCAUGAAUAAUUUCGAUUGGGAUACUGUUUAGCAAGCUACUUCACAGCGUCACACACGAUUGAGCCAGUGUCCUAAUGGUAUAUCCCAUAUAUCAAGAUUAUUAUCUGAAUCUGGAUAAUUCGAUUAAUAAACCACAGAUGGAGGAGUUGAAAUAUAGGCAGGCCGUGUCCAUACACACCUUUCUUCCCAGCUACUUCCCGGCCAGAAUGUUCAGCGUGACUCAGGCUGGGUGUGGAUCUUAUCUUCUUGUCAAUAAAAGAAGGCGGCGUUUGGCUCAAGCGCCUGCUACAACAUCUCCAUCCCGGCGGGAAAUUCCGGUGGAGGCGAUGGUAGAGACAUAAACAAGUGCCGUAUCUACAUCUCCGUCCCAGUGUUGAACCCUAACGGCUGAGGAAUGUCCAUCUGUACCAUAUCCAUCGCAAUGGCCAACCCCGCUGGCGGAGGCAUUUUCUACAUAUCAACUAAAUUCCAACGACUAGAAGCCAUUGAUUAAUUAUUACUAUGAUAAGGAGACAAAAUAAUGAU
Long non-coding RNA from Triticum aestivum (bread wheat), 1998 nucleotides. RefSeq lists it as uncharacterized. The transcript is spliced from 3 exons. The record is from RefSeq and is a predicted model, not a curated record. NCBI's taxonomy places the organism in Eukaryota, Viridiplantae, Streptophyta, Magnoliopsida, Poales, Poaceae.